ACAUACGACCAUAGGUACAAGAAUACUGGGUCUCUCGUCCGAUCGGCCUUACAUAAGCUUGUAACCGGCGAAUUAGUACUCAGGUGGGUGACCACUGGGGAAUCCUCGCUGUUGUAUG
This 118-nucleotide ribosomal RNA is filed under the name Terriglobus roseus. The record is from RNAcentral. Lineage: Bacteria; Pseudomonadati; Acidobacteriota; Terriglobia; Terriglobales; Acidobacteriaceae.